RNAcentral lists this ribosomal RNA (434 nucleotides) under uncultured bacterium. RNAcentral describes it as "bacterial SSU rRNA". It matches the Rfam family "Bacterial small subunit ribosomal RNA", at positions 351 to 782 of the family's 1533-position model. The record is from RNAcentral.
GCAGUGAGGAAUAUUGGACAAUGGGUUAGCGCCUGAUCCAGCCAUCCCGCGUGAAGGACGACGGCCCUAUGGGUUGUAAACUUCUUUUGUACAGGGAUAAACCUUUCCACGUGUGGGAAGCUGAAGGUACUGUACGAAUAAGCACCGGCUAACUCCGUGCCAGCAGCCGCGGUAAUACGGAGGGUGCAAGCGUUAUCCGGAUUUAUUGGGUUUAAAGGGUCCGUAGGCGGACUCGUAAGUCAGUGGUGAAAUCUCACAGCUCAACUGUGAAACUGCCAUUGAUACUGCGGGUCUUGAGUAAGGUAGAAGUGGCUGGAAUAAGUAGUGUAGCGGUGAAAUGCAUAGAUAUUACUUAGAACACCAAUUGCGAAGGCAGGUCACUAUGUCUUAACUGACGCUGAUGGACGAAAGCGUGGGGAGCGAACAGGAUUAGA